RNAcentral lists this small nucleolar RNA (74 nucleotides) under Pan paniscus (pygmy chimpanzee). RNAcentral's name for it is "Small nucleolar RNA U3". It matches the Rfam family "Small nucleolar RNA U3", at positions 1 to 75 of the family's 219-position model. From Rfam's summary of the family: Small nucleolar RNAs (snoRNAs) are involved in the processing and modification of rRNA in the nucleolus. There are two main classes of snoRNAs: the box C/D class, and the box H/ACA class. RNAcentral also lists the same sequence under 1 other name. Lineage: Eukaryota; Metazoa; Chordata; Mammalia; Primates; Hominidae. The record is from Rfam by way of RNAcentral.
AAGACUAUACUUUCAGGGAUCAUUUCUAUAGUUCAUUACUAGAGAAGUUUCUCUGAAGGUGUAGAGCACCCCCC